GACAGAGGUGCCAAGCGUUAGGCGGAAUCACUGGGCUUAAAGCGUGUGUAGGCGGAUCGUUAAGUACCUUGUGAAAUCCCACGGCUCAACCGUGGAACUGCUGGGUAUACUGGCGAUCUUGAGCCACCUAGGGGCGAGCGGAACAAACGGUGGAGCGGUGAAAUGCGUAGAUAUCGUUUGGAACGCCAACGGUGAAAACAGCUCGCUGGGGGUGUGCUGACGCUGAGACACGAAAGCCAGGGGAGCGAACGGG
This 253-nucleotide ribosomal RNA is filed under the name uncultured bacterium. Its description in RNAcentral is "partial 16S ribosomal RNA". It matches the Rfam family "Bacterial small subunit ribosomal RNA", at positions 524 to 776 of the family's 1533-position model. The record is from RNAcentral. RNAcentral also lists the same sequence under 1 other name.